AACGAACGCUGGCGGCAUGCUUAACACAUGCAAGUCGAACGAGACCGUCGGGUCUACUUUCGCACGUGUGCGUACCGCGUUGGAACCUGCCCUUAGGUUCGGAAUAUCUCCCCGAAAGGGCUGCUAAUAAAGGCUGAUGUAUUCGGACUAAUGAUUUAUGGCCUUUGAAUGUGGCUGCGUUGGUUUAGCUCGUUGGUAUGGUAAAAGCUUACCAAGGCGACGCUCCAGAGCUGGUCUGUGAGGAUGAUCAGCCACACUGGGACUGAGACACGGCCCAGACUCGUACGGGAGGCAGCAGUGGGGAAUAUUGGAGAAUGGGCGAAAGCCUGAUCAAGCAAUGCCGCGUGAGUGAUGAAGGCCUUAGGGUUGUAAAGGUCUUUUACCCGGGAUGAUAAUGACGGUACCGGGAGAAUAAGCACCGGCUAACUCCGUG
RNAcentral lists this ribosomal RNA (433 nucleotides) under uncultured bacterium. Its description in RNAcentral is "partial 16S ribosomal RNA". It matches the Rfam family "Bacterial small subunit ribosomal RNA", at positions 29 to 507 of the family's 1533-position model. The record is from RNAcentral.